RNAcentral lists this long non-coding RNA (1962 nucleotides) under Bos grunniens (domestic yak). RNAcentral's name for it is "lncRNA (ENSBGRG00000023346.1)". Lineage: Eukaryota; Metazoa; Chordata; Mammalia; Artiodactyla; Bovidae. The record is from RNAcentral.
GGUUAAUACUUUUCCCUCCUAAGAAAAUGAGGAAUUGGGAAGCUGGAUCCAAGCUUCUGGGAGUAGGCAGGACAGGGACAAGCCAUAGGCAUGUGGGGAGCAUGAGUAGGGACAGAUGGAUAACACUGUGAGGAACCAUUUGGGGAAUUUAUCCACAGAAAUCAGGCUAGCAAGAAAAGGAUGCUUUCUGAUAUUUUUGGUGCUUUGGCUCCUUGGCUUGGAUUGGAGAAGGAGUAAAGGAAAGGACAGAAAUAAACAGUAAGAACUAGAGUGAAGGAAGAGGGGGUGAUUUUAUGUUGUCUUUUCUUCUAUUCUUCUCAGCCUCGCUUCAAAGUUGAGCCUUUUUCAACUAUGAGUCUGGGUCUGCCCAUCUAUGACAGGCUCAGGUCUCUGAUUCUAGAAAGACACAUUUCACUGGUAUCCAGGAGACCUGCUUCCCAGUGAUGAGAGAUGGAAUCUGAACUGCAGGAUGGUAGUAACAGCCAGUGAACCAAGCAGGUUGAAGCAAAGCAUGACUGCAGUAAAGAGCCCCCAGGCACAACCAUCCUCAAGCAAGGACUCCACACAGGACAGCAAUCAGCCCUGCAUGGCAAGCCAGAGCCCCGACUAUGAAGCUUGCCAUCAGCACUUUGGGCAGUGUUGCUUCCAGGAAGUGGAGGUGGCUCAGAUCCCAGGUGGUGAAGCCUCCCCAGGGGUCACCGAACUCUGAGUGUCCUCUGAAGUUCCACUAGUAAGUUAGCAAAAUGUACCAUUUCCUUUGUACUAUUCUUGAAGGUGGGGGUCUGAGAAAUAAUUCAUUCUCUUGGUCUGAAAAAAUAAAAGGAUUGAGUUCCUGUGGUAUUUUUAAGAGCAUUAUGAUUAUCUCUGGGUGGUUGGGCAAGGAAACAUUCUCUCCCCCCGCUAUAUAUAUAUACCAUGCACAUAUUUCUUUAAAAUGAAAAAAAAAAAAACUUUUUAUUUUAAAAAAGCUAUUGUGUCAGGAGGGAUCUAGUAAAAGAAACUUUUUAAUACAGAGACAGGCAAUUGGCUAUGGUAGUGGUCCUGAAACCUGACUCACUGGAGGGCAUGUUAAACAGAACCCCAGGCCUCACCCCAGAGCUGCUGAUUCUUUAGAUCUGAGGUGGAGCCCAGGAAUAUGCAUCUCUGGUGCGCUGCCAGGUGCUGCUGGGGCUGCAGGCUUUGGCACCCCACUUACAACCUCUGCUCUGUGACUGUUAUGUGGAGACUGCCCUCUGGCAGUGGCUGUUUUCUCCCCUAGCCUGGCUUACUCCAAAGGUCUCUGGGAACCUUCCACAGAAGAGGGGUCUCAGAGACCAGGAGACAGGUGCUGGGGCCCAGGUGAGCUGUGUUUGACACCUUUUGUCUCUUUAAGUUUCCAUUUCACCUUGCACUCCCACUCUCCCUAAAAAUCUUUUUUUCUGGAGAUGUUAGAAAAAUUAUGUGGUCCACUGAGUUUCUCUUGGGUUGUCCCUUGUUCUGUCCACUGACAUCAUGACAUGGCUCUUUACCCACCCUGAUCCUUCUCUGGGAGGCCUGACCUCUCACUGCCUUGCUCUCUCCCUGAUUUGAUAACCAUGGUCCUGCUCUGCCCCAGUGACAACUGGCCUGGAUCAGAGAACACGCAGAGACCCCAGAUAGUAAGGGAAGCAGGGCAAGGGAAAAGCCUAAGACUUCUUCCACAAGGGAGACUAGAGUGAAAGCCCACAAGACACCAGCAACUGGGGAAGAAAAAUCAAGGGUGAAGCACAAGAGCCUGACUCAGCAGAUGGGACAGAGGCAGGCAAGACAGAGAUAUCAAGAACAAAAGAGAACUGGAAAUGGGAUGAUACAGAGGAAGAAGAAAUUAAUAAGCCUCUUCCGAGGUCCCAGUAAGUCUCUGGGUGCUCCGAGCUAAAAAGAGGCUGGGCAGGCACGCCAGUGUCAGGAAGGCAACAAGGAGCUUCUCCAGGGAGAGUAAGGAGA